AAUAAUAAUAAUAAGAUAAAAGCAUCAAACAACUAAACUUUUAAAGUAUACAUUUCUUAAAGUACUUUACUUAUAUCUAGUAAAACCUAUCUGAGACUAGGCCAAGAAAAUUCCUAAGUAGUCUUAUAAGUUAUUCCUCCUCUUGUUCUUUUCUUCCUCCUUUCCUGAGAAGGUGAUGUAAUCAGAGAUCUUGGGGUUAUAAAAAAAGGUUUCAUGGCCUUAUCUAGAAGGAAGAUGGACUCCUCAUAUUCCCUUCUAUAGAUCUCUACCACCACAAGGUUCUUAGAGAUCUUCUCUCAUCUUGAUAGGGAUAGACCCUCGGAGUUCAUAUCAAGAAACCAUAAGAUUACAUAACCUCCUCAACUGAAGAAAGCAUUUUGCACUCUGUAUAUCCCAAACUGAACUCAUAUAUCUCUUUUGCUCCCCCAAGCUACUUGUGAAAUGGCCCUGCUCUUUCUCCUACUCACUCACCUUGAUAUCUCAAAAUCAUCCUCGACUCCUCUCUUAACUUGUUCCACCCUGUUCCUUAUCCUCCAUCUUCAUUGCUAUCACUCAAAUUUGAGCCCUCGUGACCUAACUUGUAACCAUAGGUUCAUAAUUGGUUGUGAAAUCGUUCUAGAAUGGCUGUUUUACCAAUUUCCUUAAAAUAUACCUCAGAUCAGGUCAGUCCUCUGCUCCCAGAUCUUUAGCACCAUUCCAUGGUCUGUUAAAUUAUUAUUCCACUCCUAACAUACUUUUUAUUAUCUGACCAUAAUCUCUUUAGUUCAAUCUUAUCUCUCUCAAUUCCUUAGAGUAUAGUCAAAGCCCAUACUUCCUUAUCAAGUUACUGUUGGAUGAACAUGUUAUCUCUUGCAGAAAAAUUUGCUAACUUUUUGCCUACAAAAUCUUUGUGCCAAGGACAGCUUGAAUGUCAUUCUUUUCCAACCACUUCAGCAAACUAUGACUUCUGAACCCUCAUAACAUGUUUUUACUCCUUCAUGACACUUAUUAUGAUUGUUAAUAGUGUAGUACUACUAAGCUCUAGUCUCCAUUGGGGCAGGGAAAGUAUCUUUUCGAAACUCUGUACCUUAUAAGUCAUUAGUUUUGACAUAUAUGUCCUAUAAAUAUUUUUAAUGUUAUUAAA
Molecule: long non-coding RNA, 1123 nt
Filed under: Marmota monax (woodchuck)
Lineage: Eukaryota; Metazoa; Chordata; Mammalia; Rodentia; Sciuridae
Source: RNAcentral